GCACCAGAUUUUUGGGUAUAACGGAAAAAAAACACCUACCACUGGCCACCAGAACAGAGCAUAUACUCUCUUUUGUUUUCUUCAGCUUCUUCCUAUGAGCUAGCCGGCCAUUAGCUCCCUCUUCGCUAAUCACAAAGAAUUCAUGAUUUGAUUUUUCUGAAGUCUCAAAAAUGGUGUGUUCAGGUAGAAUACUGUGUUUAUCUUGCUCAACGACGCCGUUUUGUUCUUCUACUUCCAGAUAUCUCCAUAGAAGGAACCUUAGAAAUAAUACUAAUAAUAUUAAAUGGCGAUCUAUGGCCUCCGAUGCUGAUGCCUCUGCAUUUACUACUUCUUUUGAUUCUGAAUCCUCCGAUAAAACUGCCCCCGGGUUUUGUAUAAUAGAAGGGCCAGAGACAGUAGAGGACUUUGCCAAAAUGGAGUUGCAAGAAAUUCGAGAUAAUAUUAGAAGUCGGAGAAACAAGAUAUUUUUGCAUAUGGAGGAGGUACGGCGGCUAAGAAUACAACAAAGGCUAAAAAGUGCUGAGCUUGGGAUACUAACGGAUGAGCAAGAAAAUGAGCUUCCUAAUUUCCCAUCAUUUAUUCCCUUUUUGCCUCCACUUACAUCAGCAAAUCUUAAGCAAUAUUAUGCUACCUGUUUCUCACUCAUUGCCGGAAUUAUGCUUUUUGGUGGACUUCUAGCGCCUACUUUGGAGCUGAAAUUGGGAUUAGGAGGCACAUCAUAUGCCGAUUUCAUCCAAAGCAUGCAUCUACCAAUGCAACUGAGUCAGGUUGAUCCAAUUGUGGCAUCAUUCUCUGGGGGUGCGGUUGGGGUGAUCUCUGCAUUGAUGGUUGUUGAAAUCAAUAAUGUGAAACAGCAGGAGCAUAAGAGAUGCAAGUACUGUCUCGGAACUGGAUACCUUGCUUGCGCUCGAUGUUCUAGCACUGGAGCUCUUGUUCUUAUCGAGCCUGUUUCGACAUUUAAUGGAGCGGACAAACCUCUGUCACCACCUAAUACAGAAAGGUGUCCCAACUGUUCAGGCGCAGGAAAGGUCAUGUGCCCAACGUGUCUUUGUACUGGGAUGGCUAUGGCAAGUGAACAUGAUCCACGUAUUGAUCCCUUCGAUUAAAUAGCAGAUAGAUUUCCUUCCUGAGACUUUUAGCAUUGAAGAUGUAAAGUUCAGAUGAAGCAUCAACACCUAUUUAAAAAGAUCUCUUCUACAGCGAUUUAUAUUCCUCAAUCAGUCGGGACGCAUGGAGACGGGAUGUAGGAACCAUAGUGCAUCCUAGACUCUGAAGAUAUGCGAUCUGCCACAAGGGAACAAAACAACUGAAUGAGCUUACCCCGAGCUCCAAGAAUAAGUCCUUAGUUACAGGCAGUAUUACUGUGUACUCUCUAUAGUUACAACUCGUGGCCGUUAUAAAAUCUGAAGCAGCACAUUAUUGCGUGAU
Molecule: RNA transcript, 1428 nt
Organism: Nicotiana tabacum (common tobacco)
Lineage: Eukaryota; Viridiplantae; Streptophyta; Magnoliopsida; Solanales; Solanaceae
Source: RefSeq, marked provisional